RNAcentral lists this ribosomal RNA (253 nucleotides) under uncultured bacterium. Its description in RNAcentral is "partial 16S ribosomal RNA". It matches the Rfam family "Bacterial small subunit ribosomal RNA", at positions 524 to 776 of the family's 1533-position model. The record is from RNAcentral.
UACGAAGGGGGCGAGCGUUGUUCGGAAUUACUGGGCGUAAAGGGUGCGUAGGCGGCGAACCAAGUCAGAUGUGAAAGUCCUGGGCUUAACCUGGGAACUGCAUUUGAUACUGGUUUGCUUGAAUUCGGGAGAGGAUAGCGGAAUUCCCAGUGUAGAGGUGAAAUUCGUAGAUAUUGGGAAGAACACCAGUGGCGAAGGCGGCUAUCUGGACCGACAUUGACGCUGAGGCGCGAAAGCGUGGGGAGCAAACAGG